GAAGUUAUAGUCAACUAUGACAUUUGGGUUGCAUUCAAAAGGCGCUCUUUUCAGAGCUAACUUUA
RNAcentral lists this transfer RNA (65 nucleotides) under Notostomus gibbosus. Its description in RNAcentral is "tRNA-Ala". Lineage: Eukaryota; Metazoa; Arthropoda; Malacostraca; Decapoda; Oplophoridae. The record is from RNAcentral.